Molecule: non-coding RNA, 348 nt
Organism: Chrysochloris asiatica (Cape golden mole)
Lineage: Eukaryota; Metazoa; Chordata; Mammalia; Afrosoricida; Chrysochloridae
Source: the annotation of a RefSeq genome assembly
AUGGUUAUUCUGCUUCACUGUACUCCUCAGUGUGACCACCAGGUCCAGCUGGUGCAAUCUGGAGUUGCAUUGAAGAAGUCUGGGUCAUCAGUGAACAUCUCUUGCAAGACAUCUGCAUACGCCUUCACUGACUAGCAUAUGCAUUAGGUGCAUUAGAUCCCUGGACAUGGGUUUAAGUGGUUCGGAAUUAUUAAUCCUAGCAAUGGGGGAACAAGCUACAUACAGAAGUUCUAGGGCAGAGUCACCAUGACCAGUGAAAAAUUCAUAAGCACACCUUACAUGGAUUUAAGUAGCCUGAGCUCUGAGGACACGGCCAUGUAUUACUGUGCAAGAGACACAGUGUGCUAA